GUAGGUGGCAAGCGUUGUCCGGAAUUAUUGGGCGUAAAGCGCGCGCAGGCGGUCCUUUAAGUCUGAUGUGAAAGCCCACGGCUCAACCGUGAGGGUCAUUGGAAACUGGGGGGACUUGAGUACAGAAGAGGAAAGCGGAAUUCCAAGUGUAGCGGUGAAAUGCGUAGAGAUUUGGAGGAACACCAGUGGCGAAGGCGGCUUUUCUGGUCUGUAACUGACGCUGAGGCGCGAAAGCGUGGGGAGCAAAACAGGGAUUAGAUACCCUGGUAGUCCACGCCGUAAACGAUGAGUGCUAAGUGUUAGGGGGGUUUCCGCCCCCUUAGUGCUGCAGCUAACGCAUUAAGCACUCCGCCUGGGGAUACGGCCGCAAGGCUG
This 375-nucleotide ribosomal RNA is filed under the name uncultured organism. RNAcentral's name for it is "partial 16S ribosomal RNA". It matches the Rfam family "Bacterial small subunit ribosomal RNA", at positions 527 to 896 of the family's 1533-position model. The record is from RNAcentral.